CCUACGGGUGGCAGCAGUGGGGGAUAUUGCACAAUGGGGGGAACCCUGAUGCAGCGACGCCGCGUGGGUGAAGGAGCGUUUCGGCGCGUAAAGCCCUAUCGGCAGGGAAUAAGAUGACGGUACCUGACCAAGAAGCCCCGGCUCACGACGUGCCAGCAGCCGCCGUAAUACGUAGGUGGCAAGCGUCAUCCGGAUUGACUGGGUGUAAAGUGGGCGCAGACGGCAGGGCAAGCCAGGCGUGAAAGCCCGGGGCCCAACCCCGGGACUGCUCUUGAAACUGGAUGGCUUGAGUACAGAAGGGGCAGGCGGAAUUCCUGGUGUAGCGGUGAAAUGCGUAGAUAUUAGGAGGAACACCGGUGGCGAAGGCGGCCUGCUGGACUGUGACUGACGUUGAGGCCCGAAGGCGUGGGGAGCAAACAGGAUUAGAUACCCCUGUAGUC
Molecule: ribosomal RNA, 440 nt
Filed under: uncultured bacterium
Lineage: Bacteria
Description: partial 16S ribosomal RNA
Rfam family: Bacterial small subunit ribosomal RNA
Source: RNAcentral